This is a small nuclear RNA of Myotis lucifugus (little brown bat), 103 nucleotides long. The record is from Ensembl. NCBI's taxonomy places the organism in Eukaryota, Metazoa, Chordata, Mammalia, Chiroptera, Vespertilionidae.
GUUUGGCAACAGAGAUAGAUACUAAAAUUGUAAAUUAUACAGAGAAGAUUAGCAUGCCCCUUGCACAAGGAUGACACAAAUUCAUGAAGUGUUCCAUAUUCAA